UACAGAGGGGGCAAGCGUUGUUCGGAAUUACUGGGCGUAAAGGGCGCGUAGGCGGCCUGUUAAGUCGAACGUGAAAUCCCUGGGCUCAACCCAGGAACUGCGUCCGAUACUGGCAGGCUUGAAUCCGGGAGAGGGAUGUGGAAUUCCAGGUGUAGCGGUGAAAUGCGUAGAGAUCCGGAGGAACACCGGUGGCGAAGGCGGCAUCCUGGACCGACAUUGACGCUGAGGCGCGAAAGCCAGGGGAGCAAACGGG
RNAcentral lists this ribosomal RNA (253 nucleotides) under uncultured bacterium. RNAcentral describes it as "partial 16S ribosomal RNA". It matches the Rfam family "Bacterial small subunit ribosomal RNA", at positions 524 to 776 of the family's 1533-position model. The record is from RNAcentral.